UAUCUGAUCUACAGCUCACUUCAUCAUCGGAUGCCGUGGGCUGUAGCUCAGGAAAGCUUAUGCUCUGAUAAAUUUGUUAGUCUCUAAGGUGCCACAAGUCCUCCUGUUCUUUUUACAUUAUAUGCAUGGUUUCAUUCAGCUGUGUGAGAGGACCUGAGCCACACAUGGGGAGCAGUACCUUGCUACAGAACAGCUGCCGGCAGGCAAGCCCAGAGCUACACUGGCUUCUCAGGAUGAACCAGCUAAUUUGCUGAUCAGGUUGUUUCCGCCAGUUGUUUAUCUGGGCUUAAAACAAGCCUGGGCAGAGUCUAAAAGCAGUUCAAAUGAAACUGUGAACCAGGGGUCAGAUUAGUAGGGAAAGGGGUGGUGGUACUCUUCCAAAUGCUUUCCCACAAAAUAAGCUCUGCCCACUGUGAGAUGCUACUCACAGUCAAUUGUGCAGAUGUUAAGCAUGUAUCAGAGGUUCUCAAACUUCACUGCACCCCAACCCCUUUCUGACAACAAAAAUGACUCCGGGGGGGGGGACCAAAGUCUGAGCCUGCCUGAGCCCCAGCACCAUAGGCAGGGUGACCAAAGCCCAAACCUGAGCCCUGUCAUCCAGGGCUGGAGCCCUUGGGUUUUGGCCCCCAGCAGUGGGAUUUAAGCUUUGGCUUUGUCCCUGGGCUGUGGGGCUUGGGCUUUGUCCCUGGGCCCCAGCAAAUCUAAUGCCAGCCCUGGCGACCCCAUUACAAUGGGGUUGUGACCCACUUUGGGGUCCCAACCCACAAUCUGAGAACUGCUGGCAUAUAUGAUCACAUGUUUUCUAGGCUUCUUACACCCUCGGGGGGGGGGGGGGUCUGAAUACACCUGUGGACUCUACUUAGCUCCUUGGUCUUGGAUUUUCUUGAUUGAGAAGGGACGUGGCAUUGCUCUCCCCAACCCGUUCACAUGUUGUGCCAAAAUGAGCUGUUAGGCAUCAUAGAUUUUGCAGAUCUUUAUAAUGUGACCCUCCUCCUCCUUUCUUACAUGUUUUGAUGAGUAGAGAAAAUAUAAAUUAUUUAUUCUUUCUCAGCCUCAGUUCCUCAUCUGUGAAAUUGGGAUAAUAGCCAUAAUAACGCAAUAGAAUAUUGUAAGGAAAAACUUAUGAAUGUGUUUGAGGUGCUCAAAUGUUAGAUAUAUUUACUUUUAGAAAAAUAUCAAGGUCCCAGUCCUGAAAUGUGUAAUGCUUAAUUUGUGAGUUCUUCAGUGGUACUACUCACAUGUUUGUAGUUAAGCAAAUGUAAAAAUGUUUGCAAAAUCAGGGCAUAAAUAAAAUAAUGUUUACCACAUUCUUGUGAGAUGGAUAAGAUUAUAACAACUAUUUACAUAUGGUGAAAAGAGGAAGAGGUUAAGUGACUUACUCACGUCCAGAGAGCGUGUCCGGUUCUUGAGUUGGUAUUAGAACUCAGAAUUACAGUCUUGCCCUCAGAAGUAUUAUAAGGGCCCUACUGUCAAACAAACAUUAACCCUGCCCCUUGGUCCAUUAAACCCCACCCACCUGUCACUGGAAGUCCUGCCCCAUUGGGGUAUUACUUCCGGGGUCAAGCUGGACACAUGACUGGAAGCAAGGUGUGUCGUGACCCCUCUAAGAACUCCUCCCACUGCCCUCUACCAAUCAGGAUGGGUUUUGCCCACAUAGGCCCACCCUGAGAGGAGAUUUGACCAAUUGGGGGGAGUUCCGGGGCAGAGUGACCUGUCUGGAAAUGGGUUGUCUGACCCCUCUAAGAACUCCUCCCACCGUCCUCUACCAAUUGUGAUGGGUUUUGGCCGCAGAGGACCGCCCCGAGAGCAGAUUUGACCAAAAUAGGGCAGAUUCUGGGACGGGAUGAACCGCCCAGAAGAGGGUUGUGUGACCCCUCUAAAAACUCCUCCUACCGCCCUCUGCCAAUCAGAGCGCAGCAUCAUCACCCCAUGAAUCCCAGCGCCGGGCAGAGGAGGCCAUCUCUUACCAAGAACACGUGUUUUAGAAAUCGUGGAAAGGCUAAUAGGAAACAUGGACUCCUUCACCACCCCCAUGAGAACUUCAGACUUUGUUUUAGCCCUGAGAGCCUUCGACCAUCUGCGGAGACCAUUCUACAUCAGCGACAAUUCCGAGGAGGAGGAGGAGGGAGCAGACAAGGGGAACCCUUUGGCCCAGCUGUUGAUGGAUACGCUGGAACCCGAACCCGAAACCCAACUACUCGUGAGACACCCUGAUGAGCAUGGCGGCCUUUCAUUGUCCACCCCCCUGGAGGAGGAAGGCAAACGCAGCUUGGGGGAGUCACCAGAGGACAAGGUGAAUGGAAAAGACAUCGCUCAGACAUGGGCAGCUCUCCUGACAAUCCUGUAGUCAGAGCUACAGGGACACCUCUGCCAGAACCGCCAAAGAACCAGAAAUCUUCUCUGAGUCCUUUAAUAACAACAACAGCUGAAGAGGAAAAUUCACCAGCAUUAGUGACUGAUGGAUGGAUGAAGCCCAGCAUGUGCAGCUCUCCUAACAAUGCUGUAGUCGGAGCUACAGGGACACCUCCACCAGAACCGCCAAAGAACCAGGAAUCUGCUUUGAGACCUUUAACAAUGCUAAUGCAAAACAGCACAAGAAUGCAGAUGAAGCAUCAGGGCAGUCCAAACCUCAUAUACGUCAAACCCAAGGACAAAACAAAAGACUCUGGUAAAAACCAA
Chelonia mydas (Green sea turtle) is the source of this 2679-nucleotide RNA transcript. RefSeq lists it as uncharacterized. Lineage: Eukaryota; Metazoa; Chordata; Testudines; Cheloniidae. The record is from RefSeq and is a predicted model, not a curated record. The transcript has 3 exons.